This 402-nucleotide unclassified non-coding RNA is filed under the name fungal sp. RNAcentral describes it as "partial internal transcribed spacer region". The stretch from base 1 to 46 matches the Rfam family "Eukaryotic small subunit ribosomal RNA", at positions 1786 to 1831 of the family's 1831-position model. The record is from RNAcentral. Lineage: Eukaryota; Fungi.
AAGUCGUAACAAGGUUUCCGUAGGUGAACCUGCGGAAGGAUCAUUAACACGUAUCCACGUAUCAACCAACUGUGAACUUGUUCUCAACUCUCCCUGCAUGUGCGAGAUGAAUUGGAAUCGCUGGUGUGUAUGACUGGGCGGCUUCGGCCGUUCGCACACUGCGACUAUCUGGAAGCAAUUCCUAACAAUUGUACCCGUCGUGUAGGCACACAAUGUUCUGCUCUCAAACGAUCGCCGGUUCAUCGGUCGUCGGAGUGGAACGAUAUUAUACACACUAUUUCACCCCCUUUUUGCUAGUUGACUUUUUAUAUGUGAUUGUUUUGCUUAAUUGCAAUGUAGUCGCACGUUUAAUUACUUGAACGUUAAAAAAUACAACUCUUAGCAAUGGAUAUCUUGGUUCUC